RNAcentral lists this ribosomal RNA (459 nucleotides) under uncultured bacterium. RNAcentral describes it as "partial 16S ribosomal RNA". It matches the Rfam family "Bacterial small subunit ribosomal RNA", at positions 29 to 507 of the family's 1533-position model. The record is from RNAcentral.
AUUGAACGCUGGCGGCAUGCUUUACACAUGCAAGUCGAACGGCAGCGCGGGCUUCGGCCUGGCGGCGAGUGGCGAACGGGUGAGUAAUGCAUCGGAACGUGCCCAGUAGUGGGGGAUAGCCCGGCGAAAGCCGGAUUAAUACCGCAUACGACCUGAGGGUGAAAGCGGGGGACCGAAAGGCCUCGCGCUAUUGGAGCGGCCGAUGUCGGAUUAGCUAGUUGGUGGGGUAAAGGCUUACCAAGGCGACGAUCCGUAGCUGGUCUGAGAGGAGGACCAGCCACACGGGGAGUGGGACCCGGGCCGGAAGAGUACGGGAGGACGCAGUGGGGAAUAGUGGAAAAUGGGCGAAAGCAUGAUCCAGCAAUGCCGGGUGAGUGAGGAAGGCCUUAGGGUUGUAAAGCUCUUUUAACCGGGAUGAUAAUGACAGUACCGGGAGAAUAAGCUCCGGCUAACUCCGUG